Molecule: long non-coding RNA, 5379 nt
Filed under: Zea mays
Lineage: Eukaryota; Viridiplantae; Streptophyta; Magnoliopsida; Poales; Poaceae
Description: long non-coding RNA (ZMAY_LNC005784)
Source: RNAcentral
UUUCCUGCUAACAUCUUCGGCGUUGUAUCAAGACCUUCGUAUUAUCCUGGUCUUCUCUCUGCCGUGAUACCGACUUGAGUCCGAAGGUACCUGCUCACACAUUAUACUUCCAGAAAUACUGUUAAAUUCUGUUUUUGAGGACCUUCGGAUGCCGAAGGUCCCCAACAUGGUCUCCACCAUAAAUCCAAGAAUGUGAUCUAUGGCAAGGAAACAUAUGUGUAGUGAGGUGUAUGAGCCUCUGGUCGAAGAUCAAUGGCCACACAACCCCCAUUUUUGUCGAAAAUAGCCAUGAAUGACCAUUUUCAAAAAUACCAAAGGCUAACACAUUCGGAUUUUUGCCCAAGAAAUGGUCUCCACCAGAAAUCCAAGAAUGUGAUCUAUGGCAAGGAAACAUAUGUGGGGUGAGGUGUACGAGCCUCUGGUCGAUGAUCAAUGGCCACAGAACCCCCAUUUUGCCGAAAAUAGCCAUGAACGACCAUUUUCAAUAAUACCGAAGGCUAACACGUACGAGUUUUUGACCAAGAAAUGGUCUCCACCAAAAAUCCAAGAAUGUGAUCUAUGGCAAGGAAACAUAUGUGGGGUGAGAUUUAUGAGCCUCUAGUCGAUGAUAAAUGGCCACACAACCCCAUUUUUUAUGAAAAUAGCCAUGAGCGACCAUUUCAAUAAUAUUAGAGGCUAAGACCUACGGAUUUUUGACCAAGAAAUGGUCUCCACCAGAAAUCCAAGAAUGUGAUCUAUGGCAAGGAAACAUAUGUGGGGUGAGGUGUAUGAGCCUCUGGUCGAUGAUCAAUGGCCACACAACCCCCAUUUUUGUCGAAAAUAGCCAUGAAUGACCAUUUACAAUAAUACCGAAGGCUAACACCUACGGAUUUUUGACCAAGAAAUGGUCUCCACCAGAAAUCCAAGAAUGUGAUCUAUGGCAAGGAAACAUAUGUGGGGUGAGGUGUAUGAGCCUCUGGUCGAUGAUCAAUGGCCACACAACCCCCAUUUUUGUCGAAAAUAGCCAUGAACGACCAUUUUCAAUAAUAUCGAAGGCUAACACCUAUGGAUUUUUGACCAAGAAAUGGUCUCCACCAGAAAUCCAAGAAUGUGAUCUACGACAAGGAAACAUAUGUGGGGUGAGGUGUAUGAGCCUCUGGUCGACGAUCAAUGGCCACACAACCCCCAUUUUGCCGAAAAUAGCCAUGAAUGACCAUUUUCAAUAAUACCGAAAGCUAACACGUACGAGUUUUUAACCAAGAAAUGGUUUCCACCAGAAAUCCAAGAAUGUAAUCUAUGGCAAGGAAACAUAUGUGGGGUGAGGUUUAUGAGCCUCUAGUCGAUGAUAAAUGGCCACACAACCCCCAUUUUUUAUGAAAAUAGCCAUGAGCGACCUUGAAAAUAGCCAUGAGCGACCAUUUCAAUAAUACUAGAGGCUAACACCUACGGAUUUUAGACCAAGAAAUGGUCUCCACCAGAAAUCCAAGAAUGUGAUCUAUGGCAAGGAAACAUAUGUGGGGUGAGGUGUAUGAGCGUCUGGUCGAUGAUCAAUGGCCACACAACCCCCAUUUUUGUCGAAAAUAGCCAUGAACGACCAUUUUCAAUAAUACCGAAGGCUAACACCUACGGAAUUUUGACCAAGAAAUGGUCUCCAGCAGAAAUCCAAGAAUGUGAUCUAUGGCAAGGAAACAUAUGUGGGGUGAGGUGUAUGAGCCUCUGGUCGACGAUCAAUGGCCACACAACCCCCAUUUUUGUCGAAAAUAGCCAUGAGCGACCUUGAAAAUAGCCAUGAGCGACCAUUUUCAAUAAUACUAGAGGCUAACACCUACGGAUUUUAGACCAAGAAAUGGUCUCCACCAGAAAUCCAAGAAUGUGAUCUAUGGCAAGGAAACAUAUGUGGGGUGAGGUGUAUGAGCGUCUGGUCGAUGAUCAAUGGCCACACAACCCCCAUUUUUGUCGAAAAUAGCCAUGAACGACCAUUUUCAAUAAUACCGAAGGCUAACACCUACGGAUUUUUGACCAAGAAAUGGUCUCCACCAGAAAUCCAAGAAUGUGAUCUAUGGCAAGUAAACAUAUGUGGGGUGAGGUGUAUGAGCCUCUGGUCGAUGAUCAAUGGCCACACAACCCCCAUUUUUGUCGAAAAUAGCCAUGAACGACCAUUUUCAAUAAUAUCGAAGGCUAACACCUACGGAUUUUUGACCAAGAAAUGGUCUCCACUAGAAAUCCAAGAAUGUGAUCUACGACAAGGAAACAUAUGUGGGGUGAGGUGUAUGAGCCUCUGGUCGACGAUCAAUGGCCACACAACCCCCAUUUUGCCGAAAAUAGCCAUGAAUGACCAUUUUCAAUAAUAUCGAAGGCUAACACCUACGGAUUUUUGACCAAGAAAUGGUCUCCACCAGAAAUCCAAGAAUGUGAUCUACGACAAGGAAACAUAUGUGGGGUGAGGUGUAUGAGCCUCUGGUCGACGAUCAAUGGCCACACAACCCCCAUUUUGCCGAAAAUAGCCAUGAAUGACCAUUUUCAAUAAUACCGAAGGCUAACACGUACGAGUUUUUAACCAAGAAAUGGUUUCCACCAGAAAUCCAAGAAUGUAAUCUAUGGCAAGGAAACAUAUGUGGGGUGAGGUUUAUGAGCCUCUAGUCGAUGAUAAAUGGCCACACAACCCCCAUUUUUUAUGAAAAUAGCCAUGAGCGACCUUGAAAAUAGCCAUGAGCGACCAUUUUCAAUAAUACUAGAGGCUAACACCUACGGAUUUUAGACCAAGAAAUGGUCUCCACCAGAAAUCCAAGAAUGUGAUCUAUGGCAAGGAAACAUAUGUGGGGUGAGGUGUAUGAGCGUCUGGUCGAUGAUCAAUGGCCACACAACCCCCAUUUUUGUCGACAAUAGCCAUGAACGACCAUUUUCAAUAAUACCGAAGGCUAACACCUACGGAUUUUUGACCAAGAAAUGGUCUCCACCAGAAAUCCAAGAAUGUGAUCUAUGGCAAGGAAACAUAUGUGGGGUGAGGUGUAUGAGCCUCUGGUCGAUGAUCAAUGGCCACACAACCUCCAUUUUUGUCGAAAAUAGCCAUGAACGACCAUUUUCAAUAAUAUCGAAGGCUAACACCUACUGAUUUUUGACCAAGAAAUGGUCUCCACCAGAAAUCCAAGAAUGUGAUCUACGACAAGGAAACAUAUGUGGGGUGAGGUGUAUGAGCCUCUGGUCGACGAUCAAUGGCCACACAACCCCCAUUUUGCCGAAAAUAGCCAUGAAUGACCAUUUUCAAUAAUAUCGAAGGCUAACACCUACGGAUUUUUGACCAAGAAAUGGUCUCCACCAGAAAUCCAAGAAUGUGAUCUACGACAAGGAAAAAUAUGUGGGGUGAGGUGUAUGAGCCUCUGGUCGACGAUCAAUGGCCACACAACCCCCAUUUUGCCGAAAAUAGCCAUGAAUGACCAUUUUCAAUAAUACCGAAGGCUAACACGUACGAGUUUUUAACCAAGAAAUGGUUUCCACCAGAAAUCCAAGAAUGUAAUCUAUGGCAAUGAAACAUAUGUGGGGUGAGGUUUAUGAGCCUCUAGUCGAUGAUAAAUGGCCACACAACCCCCAUUUUUUAUGAAAAUAGCCAUGAGCGACCUUGAAAAUAGCCAUGAGCGACCAUUUUCAAUAAUACUAGAGGCUAACACCUACGGAUUUUAGACCAAGAAAUGGUCUCCACCAGAAAUCCAAGAAUGUGAUCUAUGGCAAGGAAACAUAUGUGGGGUGAGGUGUAUGAGCGUCUGGUCGAUGAUCAAUGGCCACACAACCCCCAUUUUUGUCGAAAAUAGCCAUGAACGACCAUUUUCAAUAAUACCGAAGGCUAACACCUACGAUUUUUUACCAAGAAAUGGUCUCCACCAGAAAUCCAAGAAUGUGAUCUAUGGCAAGGAAACAUAUGUGGGGUGAGGUGUAUGAGCCUCUAGUCGAUGAUCAAUGGCCACACAACCCCCAUUUUUGUCGAAAAUAGCCAUGAAUGACCAUUUUCAAAAAUACCAAAGGCUAACACGUACGGAUUUUUAACCAAGAAAUGGUCUCCACCAGAAAUCCAAGAAUGUGAUCUAUGGCAAGGAAACAUAUGUGGGGUGAGGUGUACGAGCCUCUAAUCGAUGAUCAAUGGCCACACAACCCCCAUUUUGCCGAAAAUAGCCAUGAAUGACCAUUUUCAAUAAUACCGAAGGCUAACACGUACGAGUUUUUAACCAAGAAAUGGUCUCCACCAGAAAUCCAAGAAUGUGAUCUAUGGCAAGGAAACAUAUGUGGGGUGAGGUGUAUGAGCGUCUGGUCGAUGAUCAAUGGCCACACAACCCCCAUUUUUGUCGAAAAUAGCCAUGAACGACCAUUUUCAAUAAUACCGAAGGCUAACACCUACGGAUUUUUGACCAAGAAAUGGUCUCCACCAGAAAUCCAAGAAUGUGAUCUAUGGCAAGGAAACAUAUGUGGGGUGAGGUGUAUGAGCCUCUGGUCGACGAUCAAUGGCCACACAACCCUAAUUUUUGUCGAAAAUAGCCAUGAACGACCAUUUUCAAUGACAUUGAAGGCUAACACCUACGGAUUUUUGACCAAGAAAUGGUCUCCACCAUAAAUCCAAGAAUGUGAUCUAUGGCAAGGAAACAUAUGUGUAGUGAGGUGUAUGAGCCUCUGGUCGAUGAUCAAUGGCCACACAACCCCCAUUUUUGUCGAAAAUAGCCAUGAAUGACCAUUUACAAUAAUACCGAAGGCUAACACCUACGGAUUUUUGACCAAGAAAUGGUCUCCACCAGAAAUCCAAGAAUAUGAUCUAUGGCAAGGAAACAUAUGUGGGGUGAGGUGUAUGAGCCUCUGGUCGACGAUCAAUGGCCACACAACCCCCAUUUUGCCGAAAAUAGCCAUGAAUGACCAUUUUCAAUAAUACCGAAGGCUAACACGUACGAGUUUUUAACCAAGAAAUGGUCUCCACCAGAAAUCCAAGAAUGUAAUCUAUGGCAAGGAAACAUAUGUGGGGUGAGGUUUAUGAGCCUCUAGUCGAUGAUAAAUGGCCACACAAGAGCCAUUUUUUAUGAAAAUAGCCAUGAGCGACCAUUUUCAAUAAUACUAGAGGCUAACACCUACGGAUUUUAGACCAAGAAAUGGUCUCCACCAGAAAUCCAAGAAUGUGAUCUAUGGCAAGGAAACAUAUGUGGGGUGAGGUGUAUGAGCGUCUGGUCGAUGAUCAAUGGCCACACAACCCCCAUUUUUGUCGAAAAUAGCCAUGAAUGACCAUUUUCAAUAAUACCGAAGGCUAACACCUACAGAUUUUUGACCAAGAAAUGGUCUCCACCAGAAAUCCAAGAAUGUGAUCUAUGGCAAGGAAACAUAUGUGGGGUGAGGUGUAUGAGCCUCUAGUCGAUGAUCAAUGGCCACACU